Cucumis melo (muskmelon) is the source of this 758-nucleotide long non-coding RNA. RefSeq lists it as uncharacterized. The transcript is spliced from 3 exons. NCBI's taxonomy places the organism in Eukaryota, Viridiplantae, Streptophyta, Magnoliopsida, Cucurbitales, Cucurbitaceae. The record is from RefSeq and is a predicted model, not a curated record.
AAUAUAUUAUUCAAAGACAUCGUCACCCUUGUGUUUGCAAUUUAUGUGUCAAGAAAUCUGUUACUAAAAGAAUCAUAAAAAAAUCAUCUUGUUUGUGUAUUUCCACUAUAAAAUAGCCCUAUAUAUUUGUUUAUUGCUUCGCAAUAGGGAUUUAUAUACUUGGCAUCUGGUUUAACUUAUUACUUGCCAUUCUUAUGGAAUGUAGAGCACCGUGACUGAAUAGCUGGGUUUUUGUUUGAGCCUAUUCAAGGAGAGGCAGGGGUAUGUAUGAUUGGACAUAAAUCUUUUUACACUAAUGAUGGUUGAUUUUCUUUUUAUACCCAUUGUUUGGGUUAUAAUGAGUUUAUUUCUACUUUUGAUCCAUCCUUAUUGGACUUCAAUGAAAUUGCAAGUUUGUUUGCACAAACGAGUUUCUAUAUCCAGAUUGAUGGCAAUUUGAGAGAGUCUGCCACUGCAAUAUAAUAUGCAAAACAACAAGAAAUAUUACCUAAUCUAUAAAUGCAGAGCAAAUUCCCAAAUUUAAGAUCGAUUCUAUUGAAUUUGAAACACUCACACUAGGGUCCUUGCCGCCAACUUUUCAAGAUUGGCUCUGCUGUUGGUGGUACUUAUUUUAGCUCAUGAAUUGAGGUAGUAGAGGAUGCAGAAUGCAAGUUUAUUUGAAGCCAAGUUUCAUUCAAGGUCAUUGAGUUGGGUUGAUAGAAGUAAUGUUUUGUAUAUGACAAUAUUGAACAAGUAUGUAAAGUUUUCAAAAUGUUGAU